UUAAUUAUUGUGCUCCUUAAUAUUCAUAUAUAGAGUACAGGCCCUAUAUAUUAAGAUGCACAUUAUACACAAUAUAAAAAGAUAUAUUUCUAGCACUGAUAUUUUAAAUUAACAAUAACAACUUUGUAGAGGUCGCCUUUCACGAAACCUUACUCCUGUUAUCACGUUUCCUUUUAAUGAUAAAUUUUUCAGUAUUUUAAUUAACUCCAAGCAUGAAGUUUCUGCUGCUUAUAACUGUAAUUAUUUACGUAUUAAUUCAUAUUUCGUAUGAAGAAACUACGGAUGAAUUUUGCUCGAAACCUGCUAAAGGUGUAAAAUUUUGGAAAUGCUCCCUUAGAAAGCUACCCAGCUAUUACCGCAAAUUUUUCGAACAAUUAGCUGAUUGCGUGAUUAUCAAGAAAGGAUUCUCAAAUAGAAACAGAGCUUUAGUAUAUUUCGCGUGCACUGAUACUUCUCUAUUAGACAAGGUUGUAAAAUGUUUUGAGAGAAAACGUUCGAAAAUUAAUGGCAAACCUACUAAAGCUGAUGAAAAUAAAGCAGCAGGCGUUUUUGAUAGUUGUUUCAGAAGAGCUUUUCCAGAAGCCAAAUGAAUUCAACUCAAAUCUAUAAAAAUACAUCCAUUAAUCUAUGUAUUUUGCACAUUUGUUCAUACUCUACUUUUUUAUUAAAUAAUGGACAAUUUCAAGGAAUUGAAGAAGUGGCAUAUCUCGGGCCAUGCCGAGCCCGAGGAUGGCGUCUCGUCUUGGCCUCGUGUAAUACGGAUGCUUCCAAAAGAUGCGGAGGAGGAGUUGCAUACAUCCGACGUCAAAGGGGUGGUCGUCGUAACUCCGGACGACAGCGCCUCGUCUCUCGUCUAUUAUCUGGAGCGGCGAUAUCCCGAAGUUCCGGAAUGGACGGUGGAGACACAGUCACCCGAGACGAGACUGAACAGAAAGGAGUCCGAAUAAAUGAUGGAAGAAUCUGUCAAGCGUAAAAGGCCUUGGUGGAAAAGAUUGUUUUUCUGCUGGAAAAAAUAACAUUCUUUCUGCCGAGACCUUCUUGCACGGAUUUCGACUUUCCACCGAAUGUGAUACAGCCACCCGGAAGUGACCUUUCACCCGAAUAUUACACUUUUACCCGGAAUUAAUCAACUGGAUUUGACUUUUCAUCCCAAUUUACGGAUAGAUACCUCGACAACAUUCGAGAUUCGUUCUUCCAAUUCGGUUUAAGUACAGUACAUAGAACAACGACAGUAGCCAAAGUGACAACGAAACAUUAAGCAGUAUUCUCGUGUUUAAUAAAAGACUGUGUUUAAACGACUAUAACUGGCCAAAGCAACUUAUAAUAUUUCAACUGGUGUUCUACUAGUAAAACAUUUCACCUCGAAUAAUACACUACGGAGGAAACCAUUUCCAAGUUAAACUUUAACCAAAAACACACACUGCAGUCGAUAUAUGUCCAAAGCAGAAUUAUAAUUACUUCAACAG
Molecule: RNA transcript, 1466 nt
Organism: Centruroides sculpturatus (bark scorpion)
Lineage: Eukaryota; Metazoa; Arthropoda; Arachnida; Scorpiones; Buthidae
Exons: 6
Source: RefSeq, a predicted model, not a curated record